CUACUGCUGAAGAGUCCCGAACUAGGACGAAACAGACAGCUGUCCAGUAC
Molecule: non-coding RNA, 50 nt
Filed under: Trichobilharzia regenti
Lineage: Eukaryota; Metazoa; Platyhelminthes; Trematoda; Strigeidida; Schistosomatidae
Source: RNAcentral